RNA transcript from Schistocerca gregaria, 2427 nucleotides. It is a transcript of the gene named transmembrane protein 237-like, with no coding region annotated. NCBI's taxonomy places the organism in Eukaryota, Metazoa, Arthropoda, Insecta, Orthoptera, Acrididae. The record is from RefSeq and is a predicted model, not a curated record. The transcript is spliced from 7 exons.
UAAAUUCCCGGCUGUCAACAGAAGCUGGGUUGAAUAGAAAUGAACUCAGACAACGAAGAAUCAGUUGAAGGAGAGAAGAGGACAGAAAAUAAACGGAAAAGGCGUAGAAAGAAAGAGAAAGCAGCAGAUACUGUUGUGACAGCUGCACUUAAACAAUUAAAUGCCGAUGAAAUCGAAACGGUGACCGCGGACCGUGUUGAUGGCGUGGAGUAUAGUGUAACAACACAACCAGUCUUCAGAAGUUACCCAUCUGAUAUGGUUUAUGUUGAAAGAAAGAGCGGUUUUCUACCAGCCCCGAGAGAAAUAGUUUUAUCACGCACAAGUAAAAUAAAAUUUAAAGAAAAAAAAAUGCAUACAGAGAAUAAGUCAACAGUAGAAUUAGCUGUGAAAAUUCAAGAGGCAUUCCAUCCUUUUUACAAUUUAUGCCACGGAAUUUUAGGAGGAAUGUCACUUACACUAUGUUUGUUGGUUGUGAGCAUUGGAUGGAACAGAGUAGAGAUAGAAGAAUUUAUUAAUGUAUAUGACAACUUUUCAAGACCUGUACAAUCAAUGUUUUAUUUUCUUACUGUGGUUUGUGUUAUUUCAUCACUUGAUAGGUGUGAUGUUGCACAGAUGUGUGGGCUUCAUGCAAGGAAGUUGUGCCUUCAUCAUUUUCCAGACAUUUUGCUGCUGCUACUGUACUUGUGCACUUUGGUAACAACUGUUGUCACCAGCUACUGGGAUGAACAACUUGCCUACCACCAUCAUAAUUCAACUGGCAUGUGGAAAGAUGAUGCUGACAUGAAGGCAAGUCUUUCCCUGUGGCGUAAUUUGCACUUUGGGAGGUGCAUUGGUGCAGUCAGCAGUUGGAUCAUUGUGUCACUCUACCCUGACCAUGGAUUACUUCACUCACGUUUGAUCAGCGCCAUAAAACUGCAGUUCAGGCCUGUAGUUGAUAUUACGUCAUCUUAACGUCACCAUGUACAGAGUCACUUCCACUGGCUCUCACAACAUAUGGCAUCACCACAAAUGCCUCACCCCUACACAGGUGCCACUACAGAGUGGUGUCAGGGGGACCGAUGUCGCAGCAAUCGACAGUGGAGGGUGUGCCACCCCUGCAGCACAUUGUUUGAGCCACAGCCCACAGUGACUUCAUUGGGGGCAAUCCGUUCUCUAAACAAGAUGGCUGCUUGACCAGUUGAACACACAUCUGAUGACAGAAAUUUUUUUCUGUGUUCAUCAGCUGAACAUUUACAUUGAGCACUGUUAGAUUUACUCUUAUACAUGAAUGUGAUAUCCGCAUUUCAGACAAUGGAAACAAUGUAUCAUAUCUGUAUACACGACCGUAUCUUAUAAGUUGUGAAUUCUGCUUAGAACAAUACUUGGCAAGACAUUGCUUGGGUGCCACUGCACUAUGUAUUGACAGAUUUCAGUGUGCCUUUUCAGAUGUGCUCUCCAUCCUUGAUAUAUGCUCUGUUACCACAGUUAGAUCUCAGUUUAGAGCAGAGAUAAUCUGCAGAAUUGUCCUCAUAGACUCUCUUGUUUAGUCAAGUUUGUGCUAUAACCAUUCCCUAGGAGUUUUAGAAAUUGAGCUAAAGGAGCAACGGGAUAGUAGGGAGAAAGGCUGUCAACCUAGAAAGUCUCAAGCCUAAGCACGCAUAAUACAGCUAAUGUGCAGCAGAGAUUUCUCUCUAAUGAUCAUCUUGCCUUAACAGCCAGACAACCUAUUCAUGUUCAGCAUGCAGGCUGAAGAUCUUCACUACAAGAGGAGAGGAAUUAAUUGCAGUUGAGGAGCCUUCUUAGGUAUAGAAAGGGGAAAAGUCAAAUAAUAAAAAAGAAAACAAGUGAUGGAAGUGGAAAGCAAAACAGUUUCCCAGAGGUUACUUUAAAGUUUGCAAUAAGUUUUCCUACCUGCACUUUCGUCAGCAUAGAAGAAAGGGCAGGACCCAACAAAAAUUUGCACAGCAGAGAAAAGCUCUUUUGCAGAGCAAUUGAUUAAGAGAGACCGAUUGAUUCUUCGCUGUGAUCAGAAUUUGAUAGAGUGAAGUUGUACAGAUUUGUUCUUUAUAUCGGGGUUAAAAGUUUUAAGAACUGUUAAUCAGCAUAUAUAAAAUAAAUUUACCACACAAUUACACUGCUGAAGAAAUCCCUCAUGUUUAUAAACUGGGCACAGAAAAAUUGAAAGCAACUCUGAAGGGGCACUGGUAGAGCAGUUUGACUCCUAAAAAGAUGAAGGCAACAACAAGAAAUUCUUAUUGUGCACUUAAUAAUGAUCUUAAAAAACCAUCAAACUGUUAUGGCACAUGUGGACCAUAUAAAUUCAUUGCCAAUGUGAUUUGGUGAAAAAUGUUCAAAAUGUGCAAGCAGAUAUGGAUAAAGUAGAAAAGAAUACAUAAAAUAAAAGUUUGGCUAAUGAAACAGGAAAAUAAAAAAGGAACCUGGUGUAAA